GACGAACGCUGGCGGCGUGCUUAACACAUGCAAGUCGAACGAUGAAAGCUGGAGCUCGCUCCGGCUGGAUUAGUGGCGAACGGGUGAGUAACACGUGAGCAAUCUGCCCUUGACUCUGGGAUAACUCCGAGAAAUCGGUGCUAAUACCGGAUAUGACCCUUGGCGGCAUCGCUGGGGGUGGAAAGUUUUUCGGUCAAGGAUGAGCUCGCGGCCUAUCAGCUUGUUGGUGAGGUAAUGGCUCACCAAGGCGACGACGGGUAGCCGGCCUGAGAGGGUGACCGGCCACACUGGGACUGAGACACGGCCCAGACUCCUACGGGAGGCAGCAGUGGGGAAUAUUGCACAAUGGGCGCAAGCCUGAUGCAGCAACGCCGCGUGGGGGAUGACGGCCUUCGGGUUGUAAGCCUCUUUUAGCAGGGAAGAAGCGAAAGUGACGGUACCUGCAGAAAAAGCACCGGCUAACUACGUGCCAGCAGCCGCGGUAA
RNAcentral lists this ribosomal RNA (485 nucleotides) under uncultured bacterium. Its description in RNAcentral is "partial 16S ribosomal RNA". It matches the Rfam family "Bacterial small subunit ribosomal RNA", at positions 28 to 523 of the family's 1533-position model. The record is from RNAcentral.